UCCUUGUCUUUAGGGACCAGGGCUGCAGAGGGGUGUUACUAAAGAAUCAUAUUAAAAAGCGGGUGUAUCCCACCGUCAUCAGCACAGUGAUCUUGGAUUAAGUUCAAUCCAAGCUGUCGCUUAGAUUCUGGUUAAACUGUAAGUUUUCCUCGCCGCCGCUGAGAGGGAACUGAAGGAGGACUUAUUAUAAGUGAGGGUGUGUUACUGGCCCGGGUCAUAACCACCUCGUAGGAGCCUCUGCCUACUCAUCGUCCCUCUCCGUGCCCAUACGCCUCAACAGCCAGUUCCCUUCUGAGACUCCUUCUUUCUUCACAUUCCCUCUUUGAGGAUUCGUCUCCGUUUGUCACCAGGAGAGGCGUCGCAGGCGGGAAGAAGAGGAGGGAGACGAGGGAGACGGGGGAGGAGGAAAAGG
Molecule: long non-coding RNA, 412 nt
Organism: Pungitius pungitius (ninespine stickleback)
Lineage: Eukaryota; Metazoa; Chordata; Actinopteri; Perciformes; Gasterosteidae
Exons: 2
Source: RefSeq, a predicted model, not a curated record